RNAcentral lists this ribosomal RNA (486 nucleotides) under uncultured bacterium. Its description in RNAcentral is "bacterial SSU rRNA". It matches the Rfam family "Bacterial small subunit ribosomal RNA", at positions 39 to 518 of the family's 1533-position model. The record is from RNAcentral.
GCGACAGGCCUAACACAUGCAAGUCAGGGGCAGCACAAGGAGCAAUCUGAGGUGGCGACCGGCGCACGGGUGAGUAACACGUAUGCAACCUGCCUGUAAGCGGGGAAUAACCCGUUGAAAGACGGACUAAUACCGCAUAAUACUAAAUUACUGCAUGGUAAUUUAUUUAAACAUUUAUGGCUUACAGAUGGGCAUGCGCAUGAUUAGCUAGUUGGAGAGGUAACGGCUCCCCAAGGCAACGAUCAUUAGGGGUUCUGAGAGGAAGGUCCCCCACACUGGUACUGAGACACGGACCAGACUCCUACGGGAGGCAGCAGUGAGGAAUAUUGGUCAAUGGACGAGAGUCUGAACCAGCCAAGUCGCGUGCAGGAAGAAUGUUCCCUAUGGAUUGUAAACUGCUUUUGCGAGGGGAAUAAAGUGCAUCACGUGUGAUGUUUUGUAUGUACUCUGCGAAUAAGGAUCGGCUAACUCCGUGCCAGCCGCCGC